UACUAACACAAGGCGUCACGCUGGGAGUGGGAACCUCCUUUCCUGGAAACCUUCAGGAUAAAGACAGCACUUAGGAUGACUUGCGAUCAUGUAUAAUAGUAGCCACUUCACCGUGUUGUUAUGAAGAUUAAAGGAGAUGAUGUGAGGAAAGCACGGAGCUUCGUGGCACAUGUUUGGCUCUUGGCAAGGUGCCAAAUCAGCAUGAAGUCUUUUUGAAGACGUUGUCAGCAGAGAUUAAACCAACGCCUGUGGUGCUGACGCUGCCCAAAGCUUAAGGACAAGGAUGACAAGAUGCGGAACCGUGACCAAGUUCGUGCACACGCACUACAUCACCGCCAUCUCCCGGCUGCUUGCGAUUUGAGAUGCCGCCCGUUACUACACACUUGGUAACGGCCUUAUUUCGGAGACGUUAAAAUUAUGUUGAAAAAGGCAAGAAUACUGGAGCAGGGUGUCAUUUCUUACAGCAGAGGAUCUUCGAGACCAAGCCCAGAAAUGAGUGGAGGUCAUUUGAGAAGGGUGGAGCCUCAGAUUGUUCUGUCGGCCAUACAGAGGAGAGGGAGAAUGUGAAGAAAGGUGGCAGAACCCAGCCUUUAUUGCCGAAGCCCUGCUGAUACACAGACCAGCUGUGUUACCAUUCACAGGUCACUUAAUCUCUCUGAGCCUCAGGUUCUUCUUCAGUUUCUUUAUAUGUAGAAUGAGCAGAUUGGACUGGAUGGCCUCCGAGCUUCUUUGUUGCAUGUUACAAUGUUUACAAUUGUACCUUUACAAUUUACUUACUUCCCCUGAUCUCAGAAUGAGUAACCCUGAGAGCAGCAAUAGCAUCUUUCAGUAGAGUGGAAGCAAGUCUCAGGAAAUAAAAAACAAAGCCUGAUGAAAAUAACAACAGAGGAAAAUGACAGC
This is a long non-coding RNA of Bos taurus (domestic cattle), 900 nucleotides long. Lineage: Eukaryota; Metazoa; Chordata; Mammalia; Artiodactyla; Bovidae. The record is from Ensembl.